AGCUUUUCGAAUUCGUGCUGAGAUUUCGUCCGAUACCAACCCAUUUGCGGUGAUCAGACUCUCAAGAUAAGUGAAGUU
RNAcentral lists this microRNA precursor (78 nucleotides) under Schistosoma margrebowiei. Its description in RNAcentral is "mir-3492 microRNA precursor family". It matches the Rfam family "mir-3492 microRNA precursor family". Lineage: Eukaryota; Metazoa; Platyhelminthes; Trematoda; Strigeidida; Schistosomatidae. The record is from Rfam by way of RNAcentral.